UUUACAGGCUUAACACAUGCAAGUCGAGGGGCAGCAUGGUCUUAGCUUGCUAAGGCCGAUGGCGACCGGCGCACGGGUGAGUAACACGUAUCCAACCUGCCGUCUACUCUUGGACAGCCUUCUGAAAGGAAGAUUAAUACAAGAUGGCAUCAUGAGUCCGCAUGUUCACAUGAUUAAAGGUAUUCCGGUAGACGAUGGGGAUGCGUUCCAUUAGAUAGUAGGCGGGGUAACGGCCCACCUAGUCUUCGAUGGAUAGGGGUUCUGAGAGGAAGGUCCCCCACAUUGGAACUGAGACACGGUCCAAACUCCUACGGGAGGCAGCAGUGAGGAAUAUUGGUCAAUGGGCGAGAGCCUGAACCAGCCAAGUAGCGUGAAGGAUGACUGCCCUAUGGGUUGUAAACUUCUUUUAUAAAGGAAUAAAGUCGGGUAUGGAUACCCGUUUGCAUGUACUUUAUGAAUAAGGAUCGGCUAACUCCGUGCCAGCAGCCGCGGUAAUACGGAGGAUCCGAGCGUUAUCCGGAUUUAUUGGGUUUAAAGGGAGCGUAGAUGGAUGUUUAAGUCAGUUGUGAAAGUUUGCGGCUCAACCGUAAAAUUGCAGUUGAUACUGGAUAUCUUGAGUGCAGUUGAGGCAGGCGGAAUUCGUGGUGUAGCGGUGAAAUGCUUAGAUAUCACGAAGAACUCCGAUUGCGAAGGCAGCCUGCUAAGCUGCAACUGACAUUGAGGCUCGAAAGUGUGGGUAUCAAACAGGAUUAGAUACCCUGGUAGUCCACACGGUAAACGAUGAAUACUCGCUGUUUGCGAUAUACUGCAAGCGGCCAAGCGAAAGCGUUAAGUAUUCCACCUGGGGAGUACGCCGGCAACGGUGAAACUCAAAGGAAUUGACGGGGGCCCGCACAAGCGGAGGAACAUGUGGUUUAAUUCGAUGAUACGCGAGGAACCUUACCCGGGCUUAAAUUGCAGAUGAAUUACGGUGAAAGCCGUAAGCCGCAAGGCAUCUGUGAAGGUGCUGCAUGGUUGUCGUCAGCUCGUGCCGUGAGGUGUCGGCUUAAGUGCCAUAACGAGCGCAACCCUUGUUGUCAGUUACUAACAGGUUCCGCUGAGGACUCUGACAAGACUGCCAUCGUAAGAUGUGAGGAAGGUGGGGAUGACGUCAAAUCAGCACGGCCCUUACGUCCGGGGCUACACACGUGUUACAAUGGGGGGUACAGAGGGCCGCUACCACGCGAGUGGAUGCCAAUCCCCAAAACCUCUCUCAGUUCAGACUGGAGUCUGCAACCCGACUCCACGAAGCUGGAUUCGCUAGUAAUCGCGCAUCAGCCACGGCGCGGUGAAUACGUUCCCGGGCCUUGUACACACCGCCCGUCAAGCCAUGGGAGCCGGGGGUACCUGAAGUGCGUAACCGCGAGGAGCGCCCUAGGGUAAAACUGGUGAUUGGGGCUAA
RNAcentral lists this ribosomal RNA (1441 nucleotides) under uncultured bacterium. RNAcentral's name for it is "bacterial SSU rRNA". It matches the Rfam family "Bacterial small subunit ribosomal RNA". The record is from RNAcentral.